GGGUGAUUAGCUCAGCUGGGAGAGC
RNAcentral lists this non-coding RNA (25 nucleotides) under Drosophila melanogaster (fruit fly). Lineage: Eukaryota; Metazoa; Arthropoda; Insecta; Diptera; Drosophilidae. The record is from RNAcentral. RNAcentral also lists the same sequence under 4 other names.